AAGCCCGCAAGGGUGAGUAGAGUGGCAAACGGGUGAGUAACACGUGGGUGACCUGCCUCAGAGUGGGGGAUAACGACCCGAAAGGGUCGCUAAUACCGCAUAACAUCCUGCGUUUAGAGACGCGGAGAUCAAAGCCGGGGUCGCAAGACCUGGCGCUUGGAGAGGGGCCCGCGGCCGAUUAGCUAGUUGGUGAGGUAACGGCUCACCAAGGCGACGAUCGGUAUCCGGCCUGAGAGGGCGGACGGACACACUGGGACUGAGACACGGCCCAGACUCCUACGGGAGGCAGCAGUGGGGAAUUGUUCGCAAUGGGCGCAAGCCUGACGACGCAACGCCGCGUGGAGGAUGAAGAUCUUCGGG
This 360-nucleotide ribosomal RNA is filed under the name uncultured bacterium. RNAcentral's name for it is "bacterial SSU rRNA". It matches the Rfam family "Bacterial small subunit ribosomal RNA", at positions 73 to 422 of the family's 1533-position model. The record is from RNAcentral.